GAUGGAGAUGACCAAUGUAAAUUUUAAAUGAGAGCGCACACGACUAGUGCCACAUGCGGAACUGGAUCUGCUUAAACCCUUCCCAAGCACCUGAGAUCACCCCCAGUUUUUGGUGGGGUUAGUGUUGCUUAGUCUUAAGUUUUCAUAUGUUUGUGUCUUGUGUACUAUUAUUUGUCUGUUUUUCUUUUUCUUUUUUUAACUAUGGCAUUGUCAGUUUAUAUUUCCAUCUACGAGUUUGACUGUCCCUCUGGUAUCUUGCUCCUCUUAUUAAGUGAGAGAAAAUAGCUUAAAUUGGUCCAACUAAACAAAGUGUGUUAAAAACCUUGUUUAAAUAUACCAUAUGUUUAUGAGCCUUUCAGGAAUACAAUCAGAAACUGUCUGAUUCUUUAUCGGAUUUUUAUUGCCUUAAAAAUUUAUAAAAAAAUAUAAUUUGGUGUUGAUGGCAGCUCUUCAAAAGAUGUGUCAUGUGACUUAGUUGAUUAGAGCCUUUAAAAGGUACAAGCACUUCUUUAAGAUAGUAUACAUAUAACUUAAACCUUUUAGAGCCUAUAAAAGGUAUGGCCACCCCCUUAAGAUAGUAUUACAAAACCUUUACAUGCUAUAAAAGGCAAAUGCA
Molecule: long non-coding RNA, 616 nt
Filed under: Mytilus galloprovincialis (Mediterranean mussel)
Lineage: Eukaryota; Metazoa; Mollusca; Bivalvia; Mytilida; Mytilidae
Source: RNAcentral